RNAcentral lists this long non-coding RNA (794 nucleotides) under Triticum aestivum (bread wheat). Its description in RNAcentral is "long non-coding RNA (TAES_LNC006826)". Lineage: Eukaryota; Viridiplantae; Streptophyta; Magnoliopsida; Poales; Poaceae. The record is from RNAcentral.
GCUGCAAGAACUCAAUACCUUCGAAUGUAACAGCUUCAUUUGCUCGAACCUAUUCGUACUGGUUUUGGUUAUGUUGUUCCAAUUCAAGCAACGGCAAUAUCUGGUUUUCCUGAACUCGAGUUAUGUCAUCUCUUUUCCUUUUAAAAACCAAAUCAAUUCUUCUCUGAGAUUGAUUUUCCUUGCCCAUGAUUACCUGUGUUGCAAUUUGUAUAAGAUCAGGCUAUUCACUUUCUUAUCAAAUGGACACAACUAUUUUUUAUCAAUAGUUCAACACUGGACACUCAAAACAGAUGAAUAGUUGGCGCUAAUGGUUAGAAAUCCCACUGGACACUCAACAGUCAACAGAAUUCUGUACAGGUGGAAUUCCAUAUGGAUAAAAUCUGUUUCUUAUAAACACUGGACACUGAAAAUAGAUGAGUUCAUGACUCAUAAGUAGAUGUAAAGAACUGAACAAAAAUGAUAAAAUGGGGAAUUACCUCUUGCUUCUGACAGUUGCUCUACUCUUGGAGGACAGUAGGAGACUGGAGACUAGGAGAGCUCAUCCAGUGAUCUGCUCAUGCGCCAGCCGCCAGAAGUGGUUCGGCAGGCCGCAGGCCAGUAGCACGACGACGUGGCCGAGCCCAAGCAGAUGUCAUCUGUGAGCAGGUGCAGAGAGUCGGGGGAAGGGAGGAAAGCAAGGGGCUGAACCGUGGCUGUGAGAUACAGGGAUUCCGGCGAGAGAGGAUAGACGCCGUCGGUUCGCCGACGGCAGCGGCUUGCUCCUGUGCUCCCUGCUCGACUGUGGGACAGUUUGG